GAUGAAGAACGUAGCGAAAUGCGACAAGUAAUGUGAAUUGCAGAAUUCCGUGAAUCAUCGAAUCUUUGAACGCACAUUGCGCCCGCCAGUAUUCUGGCGGGCAUGCCUGUUCGAGCGUCAUUUCAACCAUCAAGCCCCCGGGCUUGUGUUGGGGACCUGCGGCUGCCGCAGGCCCUGAAAAGCAGUGGCGGGCUCGCUGUCACACCGAGCGUAGUAGCAUACAUCUCGCUCUGGGCGUGCUGCGGGUUCCGGCCGUUAAACCACCUUUUAACCCAAGGUUGACCUCGGAUCAGGUAGGAAGACCCGCUGAACUUAAGCAUAUCAAUAAGCGGAGGA
RNAcentral lists this unclassified non-coding RNA (336 nucleotides) under soil metagenome. Its description in RNAcentral is "partial contains 5.8S ribosomal RNA, internal transcribed spacer 2, and large subunit ribosomal RNA". The stretch from base 1 to 120 matches the Rfam family "5.8S ribosomal RNA", at positions 35 to 154 of the family's 154-position model. The record is from RNAcentral.